GAUGAACGCUGGCGGCGUGCCUAAUACAUGCAAGUCGAGCGAACAGAUGAGGAGCUUGCUCCUCUGACGUUAGCGGCGGACGGGUGAGUAACACGUGGAUAACCUACCUAUAAGACUGGGAUAACUUCGGGAAACCGGAGCUAAUACCGGAUAAUAUAUUGAACCGCAUGGUUCAAUAGUGAAAGACGGUUUUGCUGUCACUUAUAGAUGGAUCCGCGCCGCAUUAGCUAGUUGGUAAGGUAACGGCGUACCAAGGCAACGAUGCGUAGCCGACCUGAGAGGGUGAUCGGCCACACUGGAACUGAGACACGGUCCAGACUCCUACGGGAGGCAGCAGUAGGGAAUCUUCCGCAAUGGGCGAAAGCCUGACGGAGCAACGCCGCGUGAGUGAUGAAGGUCUUCGGAUCGUAAAGCUCUGUUAUUAGGGAAGAACAAGUGUGUAAGUAACUAUGCACGUCGUGACGGUACCUAAUCAGAAAGCCACGGCUAACUACGUG
RNAcentral lists this ribosomal RNA (497 nucleotides) under uncultured bacterium. Its description in RNAcentral is "partial 16S ribosomal RNA". It matches the Rfam family "Bacterial small subunit ribosomal RNA", at positions 28 to 507 of the family's 1533-position model. The record is from RNAcentral.